CCUACGGGAGGCAGCAGUGGGGAAUUUUGGACAAUGGGCGCAAGCCUGAUCCAGCCAUGCCGCGUGUGGGAAGAAGGCCUUCGGGUUGUAAACCACUUUUGUCAGGGAAGAAACGGCUUUUUCUAAUACAGAGAGCUAAUGACGGUACCUGAAGAAUAAGCACCGGCUAACUACGUGCCAGCAGCCGCGGUAAUACGUAGGGUGCAAGCGUUAAUCGGAAUUACUGGGCGUAAAGCGUGCGCAGGCGGCUUUGCAAGACAGAUGUGAAAUCCCCGGGCUCAACCUGGGAACUGCAUUUGUGACUGCAUGGCUAGAGUACGGUAGAGGGGGAUGGAAUUCCGCGUGUAGCAGUGAAAUGCGUAGAUAUGCGGAGGAACACCGAUGGCGAAGGCAAUCCCCUGGACCUGUACUGACGCUCAUGCACGAAAGCGUGGGGAGCAAACAGGAUUAGAUACCCUGGUAGUCCACGCCCUAAACGAUGUCAACUGGUUGUUGGACGGCUUGCUGUUCAGUAACGAAGCUAACGCGUGAAGUUGACCGCCUGGGGAGUACGGCCGCAAGGUUGAAACGUCAAAGNUAGUGCGNGNGAGAGCGACGAGACGACGAGGAGGGAGAG
This 616-nucleotide ribosomal RNA is filed under the name uncultured bacterium. RNAcentral's name for it is "bacterial SSU rRNA". It matches the Rfam family "Bacterial small subunit ribosomal RNA", at positions 338 to 945 of the family's 1533-position model. The record is from RNAcentral.